CACAUACAGCCAUCUAGAUCACUGGCUAGCUUUGGGAAGCCUGCUGAGCAAAAAUAAUUAAUAAAAAGCAUGCUUUACCAGAGAGCCAUCAUGAGUCUAGCUGUUUCUGCCAUCAUACUGACCUUCACAAGGACAGGAGUGGCAAACAUUGAAAAGAGGUCCCACAGACCCAGACAAUUAAGAAUGAUUAAUGCAUUUAAGCCACUCAGCUGCUGCAGAAAGGUCUCCACUCAGAAAAUUAAAGCAACCAUUCUCAAGUGCAUCCCCGAUAGGGCAAAGAGACCGCCUUGUGUGAAUGCUUUGGUAUUUGUGACGACUGAGGGUACGUUUUGCACUUCCCCAAAAGCUCCUUGGGUGAAAGAGUUAUUACCAAAAUGCAGGGAGCUUAAUCAACAGCCCUGAAGACCUCCACUGGAAAAAAUGUUUUGAAGACCACUUGAUAUAUUUAGAUUUUAUUGAGAAGUAUUCAGGUGCAUCUCAAAAAAUUAUAUCGUGAAAAAGUCCAUGGCCAUACCCAAAUUGAAAGAUUAAAGGCUCAGGAAACCAUUGCCAGUAUUUUUACUGAAUUAGUUGAUCAGAACUCUUCUCAGGUCGAACUUUGAAGUAUUCUAAAUUCUUUAUUCUAAUAUUU
Alosa sapidissima (American shad) is the source of this 631-nucleotide long non-coding RNA. RefSeq lists it as uncharacterized. The transcript has 4 exons. Lineage: Eukaryota; Metazoa; Chordata; Actinopteri; Clupeiformes; Clupeidae. The record is from RefSeq and is a predicted model, not a curated record.